GAUGAACGCUGGCGGCGUGCCUAAUACAUGCAAGUCGAGCGAACAGACGAGGAGCUUACUACUCUUACUUUAGCGGCGGAAGGGUGAGUAACACGUGGAUAACCUACCUAUAGGACUGGGAUAACUUCGGGAAACCGGAGCUAAUACAGGAUGAUAUAUUGAACCGCAUGGUUCAAUAGUGAAAGACGGUUUUGCUGUCACUUAUAGAUGGAUCCGCGCCGCAUUAGCUAGUUGGUAAGGUAACGGCUUACCAAGGCAACGAUGCGUAGCCGACCUGAGAGGGGGAUCGGCCACACUGGAAGUGAGACACGGUCCAGACCCCCACGGGAGGCAGGAGUAGGUAAUCUUCAGCAAGGGGCGAAAGCCUGACGGAGCAACGCCGCGCGAGUGAUGAAGGUCUGCGGUCCGGAAAAUUAUGUUAUUAGGGAAGAACAAAAGCGUAAGUAACUAUGCACGUCUGGACGGUACCUAAUCAGAAAGCCCCGGCAACCUACUG
RNAcentral lists this ribosomal RNA (496 nucleotides) under uncultured bacterium. Its description in RNAcentral is "partial 16S ribosomal RNA". It matches the Rfam family "Bacterial small subunit ribosomal RNA", at positions 28 to 506 of the family's 1533-position model. The record is from RNAcentral.